This is a ribosomal RNA of Ursus americanus (American black bear), 112 nucleotides long. The record is from Ensembl. Lineage: Eukaryota; Metazoa; Chordata; Mammalia; Carnivora; Ursidae.
GUCUAUGGCCAUAUCACCCUGAACGUGCCCGAUCUCGUCUGAUCUCAGAAGCUAAGCAGGGUCAGGCCUGGUUAGUACUUGGAAGGGAGAAAAGAAAGACAAGCCACAAAUU